This is a long non-coding RNA of Chelonia mydas (Green sea turtle), 3715 nucleotides long. RefSeq lists it as uncharacterized. Lineage: Eukaryota; Metazoa; Chordata; Testudines; Cheloniidae. The record is from RefSeq and is a predicted model, not a curated record. The transcript has 3 exons.
AAACUGGAAGGUUCCCAGCAGCUGGAGUUCCCAGCACUCCCUAAAGCAAAGAGGUGGUAGUGAGCAGAAAACUCCAUGCAAGCCCGGGACCCAGCACUGGGCUGUUUCUCCCUGGCCUCUAGGAGGGAUAACAACUGCUGCAAAUGCCUCCAAAGAGGAAGUGGAGCUGAAGAGACAAUCUCUCCAGAAACCAACUGCAGCACUGGGGCAUGGCUGGGAAUUAGCCCUGGUCUACACCAGGGUGGGGUGGUGUCGUCGAUGUAAGAAUUCUAAAGAAAAACAAGUUAAGUGCUUCUGGCUGUAGACAGAACGAAGUACAUAAGCAUCUGGAAAAGUGAACAACAUCUGUGUCACCAUGUACAAAGAAGCAAGCACAUUGCAGAUGAUAUGCUCUACAAUUUGUAAAGGAAGGGCCAACUGACACGGUACUUAAAAUGCUGGUAGCUUGUCUACACUAAGACGCUCUAGGUUGCUCCUUCUAGUGUUAAGAAGUCUGAGAAAUGUUACAAAAUUUCCCUAGUGCAGAUAAGGCUUGAUUUUUAAAUUGGUGUCCCUUUAAAUCCUUGGAGAUAGCACAGCAUUCACAUUAAAAAAAUUGGACAAAUGAAGUCGUCAUUGAAAGCAGGAGGCUUUUAAAUCACUCAGUUACAACACAUUGCAACAAACUUUAAAUCUGGUGUAAGAGUUAAAUCAAUAAUGAAUCUAAUAUGACACAAUUUUGCAAUCAAAGGAAUUGCAUAGUUAAAUCACUAAGAGGUGCUACGCAAAAAUGGUAGUUUUCUUACUCCAUAGAUUUGUGCCUUGUGUGUAGCCUGAGUAACAUCUGCCCACUAUAUACUGGCAAAAGUGAUCACUACUUCCUCCUUACUCACUCCACUACUAACUAUAUUUGCUGUGCAGUGAUAUGGGAGCAUCAGCUAGAUUCUACUCUGUUUCAUGCAUCAGACUUAAAUCCAUUCCAAUUUCAGAAUUAAAAUACUGCUGAGGAGCCAAAAAGUUCCAGCUGAAUUUCAAAACCCAGUUUGCCAAACAUCAAUUAUUUUCAUUUGUAAGUUAACAAAUUUGUAACUGAUAACAUGGAAUAUCACAAUGCCAUUUUCAGACAAACAUUUUAAGAAGUUUAAUCAGCCUUGAAAGUUGCAUUAAUGCAUUUUUCCCCAUUUAAAACCAUAAAGAAUGUUAUAUCAUAGUCUCUUACAAUGCACAUAUAAUGUAGAAAAGAAAUUAGACAAGUUACCAGGUAGAAAACCAAGCUGCACUGGGCUGCAGAAAGACUCUAGGCCCCAUUCCUUUUCACUUUUAAAUGGAGUAUUUGUACUGACAAUAAAUCUUUCCUAAAAGACUUCACCUGAAGUCCUGGCCCCAGUGAGAUCAAUAGUAAAACUCACACUGAGUGCAACAGGACCAGAAUUUCACCCUUAGUAUUUUAGAACAAGUGAGGUCAUAAACAUUAUAUAAAUAAAUAAGGGUCUGGCUUGCACCAUAGCUGCUGCACUGCAGUAACAAGAUCUUCCUAACCCUGUUCGGACAAGCUUCAGUUGGAGCCAAUAGCAGAAAACUCCUGCCCAGAUCCUGAGGAUAUGGGGCUCAGGGCAAAAUUGCAGUACAAUCAUAUCAUCGCUCCAAGUUGGAGAAGGAAGAUUUAGACAACGUCUUAAAUUUCAGUUUUAAAAGUAAAAGUUUCUGGUGAUUAGCUGAUCUGUUAUGAAAUGUCCAGGAUUCCAUAGUAUCUGCGAGUUCUUGUGACCAAGCAUAUACUGAAUCUGUGUGGUAAGCAAAACACAGCUAGAUUCGGAAGCAAAGAAAUUGUUUAAUGGAGUCUAAAAUCCCACCAGGCAUCUGACCAGUUUGCCUAAAUUUGCAUUCCACACCACAACGUAUUAUAACAAUGUAAGUUUAACCAUAAUGUCUGGAAAUCAAUGCUAUAAAGGAUCAAGAGACAGUUUCACUUACUGGAAAUAAGAGUGCAGCCAAAGUUGUUUCUGUGCAGUUUGUAUACUGUACGGAAGAGAGCCACCAGCUCAAAAGAAAAGAAACAAUGUUAUCAACACUGGUAUUUGAUUUUUGAAAGACAUUUUGAAAAGAGUACAAAAAUACAUUCUCAGUAAAUAAUGAGGGGGUAGAGGAAUACAUUAGCUCCAUUUGCAUCUCAAAAUGUUCUUUUGAAAAACAAAUCAGAAGCCUCCUGUGAUACUAAAUGGUUUGUCUCGUCAGAAAGAAAAAAUUUAAAACACAGAUCCCCAAACACGAAGUAACCAAUUUACACCAGAAAAUGAAUUCAAAAAUAUCAGAUUAAUGAUUCACAGUUCAGUCCCUUUUUAAGAUACCUCUGUGGAUAUUUUUCCUUAUUAUGCCCAAUGGAGCGCGUAGCCCAUAAUCAAGUCCAUAGAUAGAUUAGCAUUAUUCACUUACACAAGAAACAGUGAACAAGAAAGCUUCAGACAGAUCAGUGACCAUUUUAUGAGGCAGCACUUUAGAACAUGGGUAUCACAUGCUAGACAUUGAGAUAUGACAUUUCUGAAAAUGUGGUCUGUGCCCAACUUUGAAACAUGCACACUGACUUCAGGAAUAUGGACCUGGGAAGAAUGAACUUAACUGUAGAGCUUGGAAUGUUAAAAUAUCACCUGAGCAACCAUUACCACUCCCUGGCUAAGUAUUCCAUUACGUUCCAUGUCUAAGCCCUAGCUGAACAUGAAUCACGCCUUCUACUAUUCUUGCUUGCAAAACUCAGUGUAAAGAAGACUUUUGUAUAAACACAAGUACAUCCAAAUCAUUUAGUUUGUUGCCAGAUCCCACAUACCCCUAAGUCAUAGUUGUGAUCUGGAAUAGUAUUCUGUGUCUGACGUGCAAACUGGACUAAUAGAUUUGUAAUUUACAUGCCAAUACAUAGAAAGCUUUGCAGUGCUGGUGUCUGAGCUCCAAAAACAAAUCAGAAGAUGGCUGGCCGGCCAAUAACCCAACAGUCUUCCCAACACAGCCAGCAGCUUGAGGCUCAUUCAGAAGAAACACUGAUCAAUGAAACAUUUACACAUUAUCUUACAAUGCAUUAUCACAAAAACUUUAGAAAUAAUUUUUCUAUUCAUUUAUUUACCAGGAUAUCCUUCCAAACUUUGCCUCACAUUGUCCACAGUAGGGUAAAUCUUUAAAAAAGAAAAAAGUAAUAAUCAAACCAAGCUAAUUGAAAUAAUGCAGUUCUACUAAAAUAUUACUAACUUUGAAAUAAAGAUAUUAGGAUCCUAUUUUUUUAAACAUUGAAUGUUCUUGCAAGUCACAUUCCUAGCAAAUAAUGUGGAAUAAAAGGACACACUCCUCCAGGAAAGCAAGAAAAGACUGAACACAAUACAGGAGUCUGAGAAUUAAAAAAAAAAAAAAAAAGCUACAAACUAAAUUUCAUUGGAAUUAAACUAACCAAAGUGGAAAAUUAGUCAUGAACCAGUAACAAACGUUCAACACUUACACUAUCAGUUAUCUUAUACUGCUGCUGGGUGAAUAUCCAUGACAUUCAGGGUUAAAAGGAGCAGCGACUCCAACAAACGUAUUUCAAGUAAUGCCCCUGAGAUCAUAGUGGGCUCUUCCCUGACUGAUCAGUCUAUUCUUAACUUCUAGUUUACAAGACUCUGUCCUUGCUUUUUUUUUCUCUUGUACCUAAGAUAAUAGAGGAGUGCAAGUGACAUGGAUACUGCCACUUGAGGAGAUACACAAAGAGGGGAUUAUA